RNAcentral lists this ribosomal RNA (253 nucleotides) under uncultured bacterium. RNAcentral's name for it is "partial 16S ribosomal RNA". It matches the Rfam family "Bacterial small subunit ribosomal RNA", at positions 524 to 776 of the family's 1533-position model. The record is from RNAcentral.
UACGUAGGGGGCAAGCGUUGUCCGGAAUCAUUGGGCGUAAAGAGCGCGUAGGCGGCCCAGUAAGUCCGCUCUGAAAGUCAGGGGCUCAACCCCUGGAUGCGGGUGGAUACUGCUGGGCUAGGGUCCGGAAGAGGUGAGUGGAAUUCCUGGUGUAGCGGUGGAAUGCGCAGAUAUCAGGAGGAACACCAAUAGCGAAGGCAGCUCGCUGGGACGGUAUUGACGCUGAGGCGCGAAAGCGUGGGGAGCAAACAGG